RNAcentral lists this ribosomal RNA (552 nucleotides) under Cellulophaga sp. AU343_Ted3_MB. RNAcentral's name for it is "bacterial SSU rRNA". It matches the Rfam family "Bacterial small subunit ribosomal RNA", at positions 56 to 605 of the family's 1533-position model. Lineage: Bacteria; Pseudomonadati; Bacteroidota; Flavobacteriia; Flavobacteriales; Flavobacteriaceae. The record is from RNAcentral.
UGCAAGUCGAGGGGUAACAGAGGAGCUUGCUCUUGCUGACGACCGGCGCACGGGUGCGUAACGCGUAUACAAUCUGCCUUGCACUAAGGGAUAGCCCAGAGAAAUUUGGAUUAAUAUCUUAUGGUUUAUAUAUAUGGCAUCAUAUUUAUAAUAAAGGUUACGGUGUAAGAUGAGUAUGCGUCCCAUUAGUUUGUUGGUAAGGUAACGGCUUACCAAGACUACGAUGGGUAGGGGCCCUGAGAGGGGGAUCCCCCACACUGGUACUGAGACACGGACCAGACUCCUACGGGAGGCAGCAGUGAGGAAUAUUGGACAAUGGAGGAGACUCUGAUCCAGCCAUGCCGCGUGCAGGAAGACGGUCCUAUGGAUUGUAAACUGCUUUUAUACAGGAAGAAUAAGGACUACGUGUAGUCUGGUGACGGUACUGUAAGAAUAAGGACCGGCUAACUCCGUGCCAGCAGCCGCGGUAAUACGGAGGGUCCGAGCGUUAUCCGGAAUUAUUGGGUUUAAAGGGUCCGUAGGCGGGCUGUUAAGUCAGGGGUGAAAGUUUGC